AACCUUCCUUCAAGGCGGGGAAUAGCCCAGAGUAAAUUUGGAUUACUACCCAUAAUAUAUUUGAUAAGGCAUCUUUAUUAAUUAUUAAAAGCUUCGGCACUUGAUGAUGGGUGUGCGGCUGAUUAGAUAGUUGGGCGGGGUAACGGCCCACCAAGUCUACGAUCAGUAGCUGAUGUGAGAGCAUGAUCAGCCACACGGGCACUGAGACACGGGCCCGACUCCUACGGGAGGCAGCAGUAAGGAAUAUUGGACAAUGGACGAAAGUCUGAUCCAGCCAUGCCGCGUGAAGGAUUAAGGUCCUCUGGAUUGUAAACUUCUUUUAUAUGGGACGAAAAAAGGGCAUUCUUGUUCACUUGACGGUACCAUAUGAAUAAGCACCGGCUAACUCCGUG
RNAcentral lists this ribosomal RNA (392 nucleotides) under uncultured bacterium. Its description in RNAcentral is "bacterial SSU rRNA". It matches the Rfam family "Bacterial small subunit ribosomal RNA", at positions 123 to 507 of the family's 1533-position model. The record is from RNAcentral.